UGCGUAGGUGGCGAGCGUUGUCCGGAUUUACUGGGCGUAAAGGGAGCGUAGGCGGACUUUUAAGUGAGAUGUGAAAUACUCGGGCUUAACUUGAGUGCUGCAUUUCAAACUGGAAGUCUAGAGUGCAGGAGAGGAGAAUGGAAUUCCUAGUGUAGCGGUGAAAUGCGUAGAGAUUAGGAAGAACACCAGUGGCGAAGGCGAUUCUCUGGACUGUAACUGACGCUGAGGCUCGAAAGCGUGGGGAGCAAACAGG
RNAcentral lists this ribosomal RNA (253 nucleotides) under uncultured bacterium. RNAcentral describes it as "partial 16S ribosomal RNA". It matches the Rfam family "Bacterial small subunit ribosomal RNA", at positions 524 to 776 of the family's 1533-position model. The record is from RNAcentral.